UAUUAAGGAUUGGAUGACUUUUGAAC
RNAcentral lists this non-coding RNA (26 nucleotides) under Mus musculus (house mouse). Lineage: Eukaryota; Metazoa; Chordata; Mammalia; Rodentia; Muridae. The record is from RNAcentral.